Molecule: unclassified non-coding RNA, 132 nt
Organism: Bison bison bison
Lineage: Eukaryota; Metazoa; Chordata; Mammalia; Artiodactyla; Bovidae
Source: Ensembl
AGUGGGCCAGAGACUGUAUUUAGUUGUGCUAAAAUCCUAAAGACCUAGAUCAGGACUCCUAAAACCUAUGUCUUCAGCAUCCAAGGGGACAAAACUUGUGAGCAGGCUCUGUCCCCUCUGGGAAGAGAGCCA